CAGUAGCCACGGUAAUACGUAGGGUCCGAGCGUUGUCCGGAAUUAUUGGGCGUAAAGGGCUCGUAGGCGGUUUGUUGCGUCGGGAGUGAAAACCCAGGGCUUAACUUUGGGCUUGCUUUCGAUACGGGCAGACUUGAGGCAUUGAGGGGAGAACGGAAUUCCUGGUGUAGCGGUGAAAUGCGCAGAUAUCAGGAGGAACACCGGUGGCGAAGGCGGUUCUCUGGCAAUGUUCUGACGCUGAGGAGCGAAAGUGUGGGGAGCGAACAGGAUUAGAUACCCGCGUAGUCCCUGUCUCUUAUAC
RNAcentral lists this ribosomal RNA (301 nucleotides) under uncultured bacterium. RNAcentral's name for it is "partial 16S ribosomal RNA". It matches the Rfam family "Bacterial small subunit ribosomal RNA", at positions 509 to 807 of the family's 1533-position model. The record is from RNAcentral.